This 2447-nucleotide long non-coding RNA is filed under the name Homo sapiens (human). RNAcentral describes it as "HSALNT0338919". The record is from RNAcentral. Lineage: Eukaryota; Metazoa; Chordata; Mammalia; Primates; Hominidae.
GACUCAGGGCUGCGGCCGGGGUCCUGCGGGGUAGGAGCGCGAGGCCGGCCUGAGGGAGGAGGCCUAGCGACCCAUCCGGCGCCUCCCGCCCCGGGCACCCGCCCGCGGCCGCGCAUCCUGCGGGCCCCAGGAGGCCUCCAUCUCAAAACAACGUGUUUUUAGAGAACUCAAGGGCUGUGAAAAGAGCAGGACCUCACCAGCUGCACGGCGGUGGUGACUGGCUCCAUCUUGCUGUCCCUCCCAAUCACACAACAUCUCCCCUUGAAGGCUCUGCCCAGGCCCGGACUCCCACCUUUCAAGAUGUCUGGAUCAGUGCAGGACCUCCUCCUUGGCCACAUCGCUCUCCUUGGACUGGUUCAAGUGAUUCUCCCACCUCAGCCUCCCAAGUAGGAUUACAGUGUUGACUCACCUGUGGAGUGGUCUGAGCCUGAAUGCCCGGGGCUGUGGCCACCGAGUGAACGGGCUGUGCUAAGGGGAAUUGCCACCUUGGGAAACCUGUGUAGUUGCGGCUUUUCUGAUUAAGUAUCAAUAAAAGUCUGACCUUGUGAAAAAAGCAAACGUGAGUGGCCCUGCUUAUGUUUCACCUUGCGUUGCUCAGUGAUAGUUCUGCAAAGUCGCAGGAAACCUGGAAUCAUCUAAUUAUCGUGAGUGUUGGUUCCUUAUUUAAUAAUGUCUAGUUGAUUCAUUAACAUGGAAUUCAUGGCCAGUACCUCUGUCACUCAUGCCUGACUGAAGUUGAUCAGCACGUCUUUUUCUCCCUUAGGCACAUGACAGCCUUCUUGCAAUCAAGAAACUACGUGUGGCCAGGUACGGUGGCUCACGCAUGUAAUUCCAGCACUUGGGGAGGCCAAGGCGGGUGGAUCACCUGAGGUCAGGAGUUUGAGACCAGCCUGACCAGUAUGGUGAAACUCCUUCUCUAGUAAAAAUACAGACAUUAGCCGGGCAUGGUGGUGCACACCUGUAAUCCCAGCUACUCGGGAGGCUGCGGCAGGAGAAUCUCGGGGGUGGAGGUUGCAGUGAGCUGAGAUCGCCCCACUGCACUCCAGCUUGGGCAACAGUGAGACUCCAUCUCAAAACAAAACAAAACAAAAAAAUUGGCCAGGUGUGGUGGGGGGCGCGGCGCACCUGUAAUUCCAGCUGCUCAGGAUGUUAAGGCAGAAGAAUCGCUUGAACCUGGGAGGUGGAAGUUGCAGUGAGCCUAGAUUGUGCCACUACACUCCAGCCUGGUUGACAGAGUGAAGCUCUGUCUCAAAAAAAGAAAAGAAACAAUACUAAGUUCUGAUUCUCAGACCCCAUUCAGUUUUUUUUUGUUGUUGAGACGGAGUCUCGCUCAGUCGCCCAGGCUGGAGUACAGUGGUGCGAUCUUGGCUCACUGCAACUUCUGCCUCCUGGGUUCAAGCGAUGCUCCUGCCUCAGCCUCCUGCAGAUUUUACAGACAGUAUCAACAAUGUCUCUUUUCCUUUCCGCUCCAGGAUCUCAUCCACUAUCACAGUUUCAGCUUUCCCCAAACUGGAAUGUGUCUUUGCAGACGCCCAUCCUUAUUAAAGGGCAAAGACUUCUCAUACACCUAGGAUGGAUCUUAUAUUCUUGGCGGGACUGCAGAGAAGGUGCCGUGUCCUGAGUCCUCAUGUCAGGGCACAGGCUUCCAGCCAGUUCUACCUGGGUUAUGUUUAUCUCAAUUCCCUGGUGGUAUUGGUGUCUGCUGGGUUUUGCCAGAAUGAAGACACCGUGUUUUCAUUUGUCAGUUGAUUCGUAUUUUCCAGGAAGACAUUCUGAGAUUACAGCAUUGUCUUAGUCAAGGUGCUGCAGAAGGACAGAACUAAUAGGAUAUAUGUACAUAUGAAAGAAAGUUUAUGAAGAACUGGCUCACACCAUCACAAGGCAAAGUCCCAUGACAGGCCAUCUGCAAGCUGAGGAGCGAGGAAGCCAGCAGUGGCUCAGCCGGAGUCCAACAGCCUCAAACGGAAUCCAACAGUUCAGGCUUCAGUCUGUGGCCAAAUGCCCAGAGACCCCGGAAAGCUACUGGUGUUAGUCCCAGAGCCGGAAGGCCAAAGAACCUGGAGUGUGAUGUCCAAGGGCAGGAGGAAUGGACAGAAGCAUCCAGCAUGGGGUAAAGACGAAAGCCAGAAGACUCAGCAAGCUAGCUUACCUACUUUCUUCUGCCUGCCUUGUUCUAGCCGCGCUGGCAGCCGGUUGGAGGGUGCCCACCCCCACUGAGGGUGGAUCUUCCUCUCCUAGUCCACUGACUCAAAUUUCAGUCUCUCUGGGAGCACCAUCACACCAGAAACAAUACCAGCCAUCUAGCCACCCUUCAGUUCACCAUCACAACCAUUGUCUUAUUCAUGAAACUUCUGCAGACCCACCUUAACCUCCAUCGGUGACUUCUACCUGAAGCCCUCUGAUUGUUGCCCAGUGGUGCUUUUUAAAAUAAUUUCCAUAGUUUCUUC